Molecule: ribosomal RNA, 141 nt
Filed under: uncultured eukaryote
Lineage: Eukaryota
Description: partial 18S ribosomal RNA
Rfam family: Eukaryotic small subunit ribosomal RNA
Source: RNAcentral
UGGUGGAGUGAUUUGUCUGGUUAAUUCCGUUAACGAACGAGACCUCGACCUGCUAAAUAGUGAACAGAAUCCCUGGAUUCUCGUUUGCUUCUUAGAGGGACUAUCGGUUGGUGUACCCGGUGGAAGUUCGAGGCAAUAACA